RNAcentral lists this long non-coding RNA (328 nucleotides) under Ananas comosus (pineapple). RNAcentral's name for it is "long non-coding RNA (ACOM_LNC015706)". The record is from RNAcentral. Lineage: Eukaryota; Viridiplantae; Streptophyta; Magnoliopsida; Poales; Bromeliaceae.
AAAAGGAAAAAAUAAUUAAAAAUCUAAAAUAUACUCAUAAUAUAAGAGUGCAUACUUAGGCUUCGUUUGGAAUUGCGAGAAAAUUACGUUACGUGCAGUGAAAAAUUACGAUAGAAAAAUAUCAUAUUUGUUUCCGUACGUAAUAUUGCGUUUCACAUAUUACGAGAGUCGGUUAUAACAUAUUUUCUGCAGUCCCACCGAAGAACGCAAAAACAUAUUGCUAUAUAUUUUUUUCAUUCAGAUAGAUCUCAAUACCAAUUACAAGAGUCCGUCGGUGCCUUUGAAUGGGGUGCAAUGUACAGCUAAUAUGCAAAAAGUUGUACCAAAG